CGUCACGGCGUCACCGUAAUAAUAUAACGCCGCCUACGUACGUACGCGGUCGGAUAGGUUAGGUAGGCACCUACGACUAUAAUACGUCUGCUGUACAACAACAGUGCGGGACCGUGUGCGCGUAUAGAAGCGAAAAAAAAAAUGUAUAGAUAAAAAAAAGAAAAGAGCUCUGUGUGAUAUUUUUAGACAUAGGAACGAUGUUAUUAUUUUUCGCUGUGCCACCGCCGUCGCCGCCGUCGUGCACGGUUGACAUUGGAAUAACGUACGGAACGAAUGAUACAGUGCCGCG
This is a non-coding RNA of Cinara cedri, 289 nucleotides long. Lineage: Eukaryota; Metazoa; Arthropoda; Insecta; Hemiptera; Aphididae. The record is from the annotation of a GenBank genome assembly.